CCGCCGCCCUCCCGCCGGCCCGGCCCCUCAUCAACAGACCCGCUCUAGCCCCACUGCACCGCUCCUCUCUAUGGUGAGGCCGGCCUCGAGACAGGAUGUCCCGCCUUCCCCCUCCUUUCUGAUUCGCGGAGAGCUUUGCUGGCGUUUCGGGGGCUUAGCCGCGAAUUGGCCGAGUUUCUCCCGUUUCCAGUGUCGAGGGAGAGAGGGGUUGGCGAGCGGUGUUGCCGGCGAAGGAGGCGGGGGGAGGGAGAGGGGAGGAGGGGCGAGGAUUAGCCGGAGCCGAGCGGGCGGCGAUAGAUCGGGCGAGGGGAGAGGAGCUGCCGCCGCCACGGACGGCCGGUUGGGCUGCUCUGCCAGCCUGGAGAGAAGGCUGGAGAAGGAAACAUGUCUUCUGAAUCUUUUUGUCUGGCUGCUCAAACUAGGUUUGACUCCAAAUGGUUGAAGACAGACUUACAGAUGUUGCAUAUAAAUACAUUACUUUGAAUAAACUUUUCACGUUUCCGCUCA
This 507-nucleotide long non-coding RNA is filed under the name Apteryx owenii (little spotted kiwi). RNAcentral describes it as "lncRNA (ENSAOWG00000010755.1)". Lineage: Eukaryota; Metazoa; Chordata; Aves; Apterygiformes; Apterygidae. The record is from RNAcentral.